RNAcentral lists this ribosomal RNA (468 nucleotides) under uncultured bacterium. RNAcentral describes it as "partial 16S ribosomal RNA". It matches the Rfam family "Bacterial small subunit ribosomal RNA", at positions 28 to 507 of the family's 1533-position model. The record is from RNAcentral.
GACGAACGCUGGCGGCGUGCUUAACACAUGCAAGUCGAACGGAAAGGCCCUGCUUUUGUGGGGUGCUCGAGUGGCGAACGGGUGAGUAACACGUGAGUAACCUGCCCUUGACUUUGGGAUAACUUCAGGAAACUGGGGCUAAUACCGGAUAGGAGCUCCUGCUGCAUGGUGGGGGUUGGAAAGUUUCGGCGGUUGGGGAUGGACUCGCGGCUUAUCAGCUUGUUGGUGGGGUAGUGGCUUACCAAGGCUUUGACGGGUAGCCGGCCUGAGAGGGUGACCGGCCACAUGGGGACUGAGAUACGGCCCAGAGGGCUACGGGAGGCAGUAGUGGGGAAUAUUGCACAAUGGGCGGAAGCCUGAUGCAGCAACGCCGCGUGCGGGAUGACGGCCUUCGGGUUGUAAACCGCUUUCGCCUGUGACGAAGCGUGAGUGACGGUAAUGGGUAAAGAAGCACCGGCUAACUACGUG